UGGGGAAUAUUGCACAAUGGGCGCAAGCCUGAUGCAGCCAUGCCGCGUGAGUGACGAAGGCCUUAGGGUUGUAAAGCUCUUUCAGCGGGGAAGAUAAUGACGGUACCCGCAGAAGAAGCCCCGGCUAACUCCGUGCCAGCAGCCGCGGUAAUACGGAGGGGGCAAGCGUUGUUCGGAAUUACUGGGCGUAAAGCGCGCGUAGGCGGCCUAGCAAGUCAGGGGUGAAAUCCCGAGGCUCAACCUCGGAAUUGCCUUUGAGACUGCAAGGCUCGAGUCCGGGAGAGGUGAGUGGAAUUCCUAGUGUAGAGGUGAAAUUCGUAGAUAUUAGGAAGAACACCAGUGGCGAAGGCGGCUCACUGGCCCGGUACUGACGCUGAGGCGCGAAAGCGUGGGGAGCAAACAGG
Molecule: ribosomal RNA, 404 nt
Filed under: uncultured bacterium
Lineage: Bacteria
Description: bacterial SSU rRNA
Rfam family: Bacterial small subunit ribosomal RNA
Source: RNAcentral